GACGAACGCUGGCGGCGUGCCUAAUACAUGCAAGUCGAGCGAAUGAAUUAAAAGCUUGCUUUUAAUUCGUUAGCGGCGGACGGGUGAGUAACACGUGGGCAACCUACCUAUAAGACUGGGAUAACUUGCGGAAACGUGAGCUAAUACCAGAUAGUUUUUCCUCCCGCAUGGGAGGAAAAGGAAGAUGGUUUCGGCUAUCACUUAUAGAUGGGCCCGCGGCGCAUUAGCUAGUUGGUGAGGUAAUGGCUCACCAAGGCAACGAUGCGUAGCCGACCUGAGAGGGUGAUCGGCCACACUGGGACUGAGACACGGCCCAGACUCCUACGGGUGGCUG
Molecule: ribosomal RNA, 334 nt
Filed under: uncultured Bacillota bacterium
Lineage: Bacteria; Bacillati; Bacillota
Description: bacterial SSU rRNA
Rfam family: Bacterial small subunit ribosomal RNA
Source: RNAcentral